This 537-nucleotide ribosomal RNA is filed under the name uncultured bacterium. RNAcentral describes it as "partial 16S ribosomal RNA". It matches the Rfam family "Bacterial small subunit ribosomal RNA", at positions 355 to 880 of the family's 1533-position model. The record is from RNAcentral.
UGAGGAAUAUUGCGCAAUGGGCGAAAGCCUGACGCAGCGACGCCGCGUGGAGGAUGAAGGUUUUCGGAUUGUAAACUCCUGUUAAGUGGGAAGAAACGACAAAAUAUAAUACAUUUUUGUAACUGACGGUACCAUUAAAGAAAGCACCGGCUAACUUCGUGCCAGCAGCCGCGGUAAUACGAGGGGUGCAAGCGUUAUUCGGAAUUACUGGGCGUAAAGGGUGCGUAGGCGGCGUAUUAAGUCAACUGUUAAAACCUCCAGCCUAACUGGAGAUCAGCAGUAGAUACUGGUAUGCUAGAGGAUGGAAGAGAGAAGUGGAAUUCUUGGAGUAGCGGUGGAAUGCGUAGAUCUCAAGAGGAACACCAAUGGCGAAGGCAGCUUCUUGGUCCAUAUCUGACGCUGAUGCACGAAAGCGUGGGGGAGCAAAACAGGAUUAGAUACCCUGGUAGUCCACGCCGUAAACGAUGAUCACUAGAUGUUAAUUCUGCUUGCAGAAUUAGUGUCGUAGCUAACGCGAUAAGUGAUCCGCCUGGGGGA